RNAcentral lists this ribosomal RNA (253 nucleotides) under uncultured bacterium. RNAcentral describes it as "partial 16S ribosomal RNA". It matches the Rfam family "Bacterial small subunit ribosomal RNA", at positions 524 to 776 of the family's 1533-position model. The record is from RNAcentral.
UACGGGGGGGGCAAGCGUUGUUCGGAAUUACUGGGCGUAGAGGGCGCGUAGGCGGUUCGCUAAGUUGGAUGUGAAAACUCUGGGCUCAACCCAGAGCCUGCAUCCAAAACUGGCGGGCUAGAGUUCUGGAGGGGGUAGCGGAAUUCCUGGUGUAGCGGUGAAAUGCGUAGAUAUCAGGAGGAACACCGGUGGCGAAGGCGGCUACCUGGACAGAAACUGACGCUGAGGCGCGAAAGCUAGGGGAGCAAACAGG